RNAcentral lists this ribosomal RNA (489 nucleotides) under uncultured bacterium. RNAcentral describes it as "bacterial SSU rRNA". It matches the Rfam family "Bacterial small subunit ribosomal RNA", at positions 30 to 512 of the family's 1533-position model. The record is from RNAcentral.
AUUGAACGCUGGCGGAAUGCUUUACACAUGCAAGUCGAACGGCAGCACGGACUUCGGUCUGGUGGCGAGUGGCGAACGGGUGAGUAAUACAUCGGAACGUGCCCGGACGUGGGGGAUAACUACUCGAAAGAGUGGCUAAUACCGCAUACGAUCCAAGGAUGAAAGCGGGGGAUCGCAAGACCUCGCGCGUUUGGAGCGGCCGAUGGCAGAUUAGGUAGUUGGUGAGGUAAAGGCUUACCAAGCCUGCGAUCUGUAGCUGGUCUGAGAGGAUGAUCAGCCACACUGGGACUGAGACACGGCCCAGACUCCUACGGGAGGCAGCAGUGGGGAAUUUUGGACAAUGGGCGAAAGCCUGAUCCAGCCAUUCCGCGUGCAGGAUGAAGGCCCUCGGGUUGUAAACUGCUUUUGUACGGAACGAAAAGGCUCUUGCUAAUACCAGGAGUCCAUGACGGUACCGUAAGAAUAAGCACCGGCUAACUACGUGCCAGC